UACAGAGGGGGCAAGCGUUGUUCGGAAUUACUGGGCGUAAAGGGCGCGUAGGCGGCCCGCUAAGUCGAACGUGAAAUCCCCGAGCUCAACUCGGGAACUGCGUCCGAUACUGGCGGGCUUGAAUCCGGGAGAGGGAUGCGGAAUUCCAGGUGUAGCGGUGAAAUGCGUAGAUAUCUGGAGGAACACCAAUGGCGAAGGCAGCUCGCUGGGACGGUACUGACGCUGAGGCGCGAAAGCGUGGGGAGCAAACAGG
This 253-nucleotide ribosomal RNA is filed under the name uncultured bacterium. Its description in RNAcentral is "partial 16S ribosomal RNA". It matches the Rfam family "Bacterial small subunit ribosomal RNA", at positions 524 to 776 of the family's 1533-position model. The record is from RNAcentral.